RNAcentral lists this ribosomal RNA (735 nucleotides) under Triticum aestivum (bread wheat). RNAcentral describes it as "partial small subunit ribosomal RNA". Lineage: Eukaryota; Viridiplantae; Streptophyta; Magnoliopsida; Poales; Poaceae. The record is from RNAcentral.
AUGUCACAAGAACCGUACACCACCUCCAUCUUUGCACUACAAAAUCUGACUAUCAAUUCAUCUUCACCUCUCUCUCAGCUACAAAGCCUACAAUACAAUUGCAGCUAUCCUUGCAGCAAUGGCAACCACACGGGCGACCGCUGCCUUCUUGGUUGCAAUCAUGCUCCUUUUUGUGUGCAUCGGCGCACAUGCCGGCGGCGCAGCGACAAGGUCAAGGUGGUAGACCUCGUGGUAGAAACCUGCAAGAAUGCUUCGAGCAGCUGCCGCAACAAGCACCUGAACGUCACCCAGGAAUUCUGCGUGCAGACUCUCCGGUCCGACAAAAGGAGCUCUGAGUCCAAGGACCUCCGCGACCUGUCGCUCGUCGCCGUUGACAUCCUCAAGAUCCACGUGGCGGCUGCCGGCGGCAAGGUGAAGGAAGCACUCCAGAAAGCCAAGAAAGGUACGGAGGAGGCGCUCGGCCUCAGGUAUUGCCAGGUGGAUUACGAUGCUGCUAUCGGUACCCUCGGCCUCUGCGACGCCAUGCUCAGGGACUUCCAUGUCCCCAUGGGCGACGCCGACGGCCCGUGGUUCUUUGAACUGCCCGAGUGUGUGGAGAAGGCGACUGACCAUGUCAGCGACUGCCGGCAUGAGCUUCCCAUGGAAAGCCAGACAGUUAUCAACGAUAACGAGGAGUUGAUCAAGCUGGGCAGCCUGAACAAUGUCUUGCUAGGGCCAUAUGACUUUGAUAGUUAA